GGUGGAUCAGGGGCGAACGGGUGAGUAACACGUGAGCAACCUGCCCUGGACUCUGGGAUAAGCGCUGGAAACGGCGUCUAAUACUGGAUAUGAGCUCUCAUCAAAUGGUGGGGGUUGGAAAGAUUUUUUCGGUUUGGGAUGGGCUCGCGGCCUAUCAGCUUGUUGGUGAGGUAAUGGCUCACCAAGGCGUCGACGGGUAGCCGGCCUGAGAGGGUGACCGGCCACACUGGGACUGAGACACGGCCCAGACUCCUACGGGAGGCAGCAGUGGGGAAUAUUGCACAAUGGGCGCAAGCCUGAUGCAGCAACGCCGCGUGAGGGAUGACGGCCUUCGGGUUGUAAACCUCUUUUGGUAGGGAAGAAGCCUUCGGGUGACGGUACCUGCAGAAAAAGCGCCGGCUAACUACGUGCCAGCAGCCGCGGUAAUACGUAGGGCGCAAGCGUUAUCCGGAAUUAUUGGGCGUAAAGAGCUCGUAGGCGGUCUGUCGCGUCUGCUGUGAAAUUCCGAGGCUCAACCUCGGGCUUGCAGUGGGUACGGGCAGACUAGAGUGCGGUAGGGGAGAUUGGAAUUCCUGGUGUAGCGGUGGAAUGCGCAGAUAUCAGGAGGAACACCGAUGGCGAAGGCAGAUCUCUGGGCCGUUACUGACGCUGAGGAGCGAAAGGGUGGGGAGCAAACAGGCUUAGAUACCCUGGUAGUCCACCCCGUAAACGUUGGGAACUAGUUGUGGGGUCCAUUCCACGGAUUCCGUGACGCAGCUAACGCAUUAAGUUCCCCGCCUGGGGAGUACGGCCGCAAGGCUAAAACUCAAAGGAAUUGACGGGGACCCGCACAAGCGGCGGAGCAUGCGGAUUAAUUCGAUGCAACGCGAAGAACCUUACCAAGGCUUGACAUAUACGAGAACGGGCCAGAAAUGGUCAACUCUUUGGACACUCGUAAACAGGUGGUGCAUGGUUGUCGUCAGCUCGUGUCGUGAGAUGUUGGGUUAAGUCCCGCAACGAGCGCAACCCUCGUUCUAUGUUGCCAGCACGUAAUGGUGGGAACUCAUGGGAUACUGCCGGGGUCAACUCGGAGGAAGGUGGGGAUGACGUCAAAUCAUCAUGCCCCUUAUGUCUUGGGCUUCACGCAUGCUACAAUGGCCGGUACAAAGGGCUGCAAUACCGUGAGGUGGAGCGAAUCCCAAAAAGCCGGUCCCAGUUCGGAUUGAGGUCUGCAACUCGACCUCAUGAAGUCGGAGUCGCUAGUAAUCGCAGAUCAGCAACGCUGCGGUGAAUACGUUCCCGGGUCUUGUACACACCGCCCGUCAAGUCAUGAAAGUCGGUAACACCUGAAGCCGGUGGCCUAACCCUUGUGGAG
Molecule: ribosomal RNA, 1354 nt
Filed under: Microbacterium sp. MCCC 1A11209
Lineage: Bacteria; Bacillati; Actinomycetota; Actinomycetes; Micrococcales; Microbacteriaceae
Description: bacterial SSU rRNA
Rfam family: Bacterial small subunit ribosomal RNA
Source: RNAcentral